UGACGUCAGCCAGCUCACGCAGCAGUCACGUUCACACUCCUGCUAACAACAAUGCCGGGCAGACGUUUCAGUGAGUCUUGGCUCACUGUGGGUGACACAGGACCCACAUGGGAUGAAUGCUAUGCCGUCUCUUCCACCGACUGGUUUUUUGAAGAUGACAUCGUCAUCCCAAAUUCAACGAUGGAGUCGAAGUUGGACGACUCCGGUCCAGCUGAGAAGGAUCCUGUAGAUCCAAAGGAUCAAGAACAAUCUUCAUCUUCUCCUGUUUUGCCUUUGGAUAUGCUUCCACCUCUCAAUUCCCCGAUUCCAUCCACUUCAACAUCUUCGUCAAUACCCCCCACAGCUCCAAGGAUCAGGCCCAUCCGCGCUGCAUCAACCCCCUCCAGGGCUAGACGAUUUCAUCGAUUUAAAGCACCCUUUGCCAUGCGACAUGGUUGCGGCAGCUGCUGCUGCUGCUGCAACUGCAGCUGUAGGAGUUUCAGACCAAGAAGAUCCUGGCCAAGAAUAUACAGGCCUGGAAAAAGAACAUGGGAGCACCUUCCUGUGGUCAUGAAUGCUUCCAGGUGGUACCAGGUGGUCGGCAGCAUGCAGUGCAUUCACUGCAAAGCCCAGGGAAGGCACCAGCUGACGUCAUGGAUGUGUCAGAGCUGCCAUGUGCCUCUCUGUCUGAUGCCAUAUCGGAAUUGCUACGCCAGGUGGCAUGAUCAGAGGUGUUGAGUACAGAGGAUGGAAGCUUUUGUUCUGAAAGGAGAAGGCAGUUGAAGUUUGUUCUCCGUGAUGGGACGAAUUUUUGUGUUUGUGAAACUUUUGUUAGCCUGAAGACUUAUAAUGUUUAUUCUUUACUGUAUCUAACAGGCAUCAUGCUAAAUUUGGUGUUAAGAAGAGGGACACCACUUGUUUUUACUUUCUCUGAAGAGUUCCUUAAAUAUGUCUAAUUACAAGAAAUAUUCUCUUCAAACGUUGCUGUGGAGAAAAAGUGAAAAAGUUUGUUUUUGAGGUGGUCAACUGGUUUGCACUUCAUUGUUCAUUAUAAUCAUUAUUCUUACAUUCUUAGAGUUGUAAUUAGGUUAUUUAGGAACAAAAAAAGUUUUCCUGAUUCUGUAAAUGUUGGUUCCAGAUUAAAGUGCAGUUAAAUUACA
Long non-coding RNA from Acanthopagrus latus (yellowfin seabream), 1139 nucleotides. RefSeq lists it as uncharacterized. Lineage: Eukaryota; Metazoa; Chordata; Actinopteri; Spariformes; Sparidae. The transcript has 2 exons. The record is from RefSeq and is a predicted model, not a curated record.